GCAGCAGCCGCGGUAAUACGAAGGGGGCUAGCGUUGUUCGGAUUUACUGGGCGUAAAGGGCGCGUAGGCGGACUGAUAAGUCAGGGGUGAGAUCCCAAGGCUCAACCUUGGAACUGCCUUUGAUACUGUUUGUCUUGAGUUCGAGAGAGGUAAGUGGAACUGCGAGUGUAGAGGUGAAAUUCGUAGAUAUUCGCAAGAACACCAGUGGCGAAGGCGGCUUACUGGCUCGAAACUGACGCUGAGGCGCGAAAGCGUGGGGAGCAAACAGGAUUAGAUAACCCCGUAGUCCCUGUCUCUUAUAC
Molecule: ribosomal RNA, 302 nt
Filed under: uncultured bacterium
Lineage: Bacteria
Description: partial 16S ribosomal RNA
Rfam family: Bacterial small subunit ribosomal RNA
Source: RNAcentral